AAUAAUUCGUUUCAAACUGGGAUUUGUGCCUUAUAUAAAAAUUGAGAAUUUCUUAUAAAGUUUAAAUAAUCGAGGUAAUAAAAUUUUUUCACAUCAAAAUAUAUUAAUAAUCAUUUUCGAAUCAAAUCAAUAAAAUUUAGCAAGCUCAAGUGAAACCAAAUAAUAUUUAAAAUCAUGCCCAAAUCAUAACUCGCCCCAUAUGCAAGGAAUUACAGAUUUAUUUCACAGAUAAACAUAUAGGGGAGUUGCAAAAAAUCGUUUAAUUCCUUUUUCACCAUGCAGAGAAAUAUAAUUCAUAAUAUUAAAACUUAUUUCAACUCAUAUAAAACCAUUACAUUUUUGUCAAAAAUAAACAACAUGGCUUAUGACUUUCUUAAAAACUUGGCUUGUGCCAAAAUCAUUCUCAUACUCGGUUGUCAGGGAUACGUUGGUCUGGGGCUAUCCCAACCGAAUCCGUCAAGGCUGCUAAAAAGUAAUGUACGCAUAAAUCAUAUUUUUAUUUUGAAAACACAGCCGUUCCUUGGCGUUAGCGGAGUUCAUCAUCACGAGGUGGUUUGGCGUGACGUGAACUCUAGCCAUACCUCAGGAGAUACCCUAUGCGCCUCUCCGACCGAGGUACAUAUAUAACCGAAUUUCGUACCCCUCUAAUAGGCUGGUCCACAGAAUCCACCCACUGCAGCAAGCUAAACCCACCAUACAAUAAACUUUGCAAUAGCAUGACAUAGCAAUUAUUUCACAAUCCAGCCUCUUAAGGCUAAAUACACAGUUAAUAUAUUUCAACACAAAUACCAAUUCAACUAAUCAUGCAAAUAUUGUCACAAGCCAUUCGAUUCAAAAUACAAUUUAUAACACAACAAGUAGCAAUCUCCAAUUACUUUUGAAUUUCUUGGUUAAAAUGAAAUCACCUUUUAAAAGAAUUCAAAUUUGAUCUUCAAGAGGAUAUUUUAAAUCUUUCUCAAAAUAUCGGUCCCCACAUCAUGUUAAAACUCUCUUUUUGUAAAAUGUUCAUUGUAAAUAUUUGCAUGAUAUUUUGUAUCAAAAUAGCAUGGUGAAUAUGUAAUAAAUUUCAUGAAUGCACACCACACAAACAAUAAGUCACAAUUUCCUUUGAUAAAAAUCUUUUCGAAAAGCUUGUUUCCCAGUUUAAAACACUUUAUGUCUAAAAUAUAUAUAUAUAUAUAUAUAUAUUUCAAAUGAUUUCUAAAAAUAACUUACACCCACAAUUCCUUAAAAUUCUAUCAACGCAUGCUUUCCAUAAAUUUUGCACUUCACGUAAAAUAUAUGUACAUGUAUAUAUAUACGAAAUUCUUUAAAAUUGACACCCCCUACUCAC
This 1333-nucleotide long non-coding RNA is filed under the name Theobroma cacao (cacao). Its description in RNAcentral is "long non-coding RNA (TCAC_LNC000910)". The record is from RNAcentral. Lineage: Eukaryota; Viridiplantae; Streptophyta; Magnoliopsida; Malvales; Malvaceae.